UCUAUUUAAUCCUAAUGUGAGGUUUACAAUGCGCGAAUGAACCGACUACCAACACGGAUCGAUUCACGAACCAACAACUCUCCACAUAUGUGACAUCACAUAAUAACAACUUUUUCAAGCCAAAUAGUCUCGUACUAAAGUAACACAACAAUCUUAAUUCAAACACAAGUGUUGAGACGAAUAUUAAAACAACACCGACACUGAACUUAAGACCUUUAAACCUACAGAUCUCAAC
Molecule: long non-coding RNA, 235 nt
Filed under: Medicago truncatula (barrel medic)
Lineage: Eukaryota; Viridiplantae; Streptophyta; Magnoliopsida; Fabales; Fabaceae
Description: long non-coding RNA (MTRU_LNC001584)
Source: RNAcentral